GCUGUGAUGGCCGAGUGGUUAAGGUGUUGGAUUUGAAAUCCAGUGGGGUUUCACCGCGCAGGUUCGAACCCUGCUCUCAGUG
RNAcentral lists this transfer RNA (82 nucleotides) under Dallia pectoralis (Alaska blackfish). Its description in RNAcentral is "tRNA-Ser". It matches the Rfam family "tRNA". Rfam says of the family: Transfer RNA (tRNA) molecules are approximately 80 nucleotides in length. Their secondary structure includes four short double-helical elements and three loops (D, anti-codon, and T loops). Further hydrogen bonds mediate the characteristic L-shaped molecular structure. tRNAs have two regions of fundamental functional importance: the anti-codon, which is responsible for specific mRNA codon recognition, and the 3' end, to which the tRNAs corresponding amino acid is attached (by aminoacyl-tRNA synthetases). tRNAs cope with the degeneracy of the genetic code in two manners: having more than one tRNA (with a specific anti-codon) for a particular amino acid; and 'wobble' base-pairing, i.e. permitting non-standard base-pairing at the 3rd anti-codon position. The record is from RNAcentral. Lineage: Eukaryota; Metazoa; Chordata; Actinopteri; Esociformes; Umbridae.